GCCCUUUGUACACACCGCCCGUCGCUACUACCGAUUGAAUGGCUCAGUGAGGCGUUCGGACUGGCUCGGGGAGGUUGGCAACGACCACCCCAAGCCGGAAAGUUCGUCAAACUCGGUCAUUUAGAGGAAGUAAAAGUCGUAACAAGGUCUCCGUAGGUGAACCUGCGGAGGGAUCAUUACACAAUACAAUAUGAAGGCUGUCCGCAGCUGGAGUAUUUUAUUACCCUUGUCUUUUGCGCACUUGUUGUUUCCUGGGCGGGUUCGCUCGCCACCAGGACCACCAAAUAAACCUUUUUUAUGCAGUUGCAAUCAGCGUCAGUACAAACAAUGUAAAUCAUUUACAACUUUCAACAACGGAUCUCUUGGUUCUGGCAUCGAUGAAGAACGCAGCGAAAUGCGAUACGUAGUGUGAAUUGCAGAAUUCAGUGAAUCAUCGAAUCUUUGAACGCACAUUGCGCCCUUUGGUAUUCCAAAGGGCAUGCCUGUUCGAGCGUCAUUUGUACCCUCAAGCUUUGCUUGGUGUUGGGCGUUUUUGUCUUUGGUCGCCCAAAGACUCGCCUUAAAGUGAUUGGCAGCCGGCCUUUCUGGUUUCGCAGCGCAGCACAUUUUUGCGCUUGCCAUCAGCAAAACGGCAAUCCAUCAAGCCUCCUUCUCACGUUGACCUCGGAUCAGGUAGGA
RNAcentral lists this small RNA (678 nucleotides) under Curvularia lunata. RNAcentral describes it as "eukaryotic LSU rRNA". The stretch from base 1 to 179 matches the Rfam family "Eukaryotic small subunit ribosomal RNA", at positions 1655 to 1831 of the family's 1831-position model. Lineage: Eukaryota; Fungi; Ascomycota; Dothideomycetes; Pleosporales; Pleosporaceae. The record is from RNAcentral.